Long non-coding RNA from Vespula vulgaris, 1260 nucleotides. RefSeq lists it as uncharacterized. NCBI's taxonomy places the organism in Eukaryota, Metazoa, Arthropoda, Insecta, Hymenoptera, Vespidae. The record is from RefSeq and is a predicted model, not a curated record. The transcript has 3 exons.
UUUUAUAUUAAUUUGAAAAAUACUGUUUGUUUAGAUAUUACAUAACUUUCAAUAUAAAAUAAUGUUGAUUUAUAAUAUCGUUAGAUGUAAAGGCCAUAAAGGUAUCGGUCGGUGAAGGCCAGUGACAUAAACAGAAAUAAAAAAAAUCGGCAAGAAAAUGACUUCGAGAGCUGACGAAUUGGUUUCCUUUUGUAUCCCGAUGACUUCCCAAUUAUAUUAUUAAUUGGAAAAUCUCAACAUAAAAAGUACAAUGGAGAAAUACUAUAUAUAUAAUGAUUUUACUUCAUACAUGUUGAUUGACAAUUUUCUUCUAAUAUUAAAUAUUUCGAAUUAAAUUAUAAAUUAUAGUACAAGUUCUUGAUAAAAGAUUUCCAAAAAUUUUACGGAUUGGAAAAGCACUGUACACAACAAAGUGGAGAGAUUAUACAGCCAUUGUAUAAUCUACGUCAUACAGAUAGAUCUAUCUCUUUUUAAGGACAUAUAGGGCUUGAUAGAGAGAGAUAGGUCGAAUUCAUUACGUAUAUACUCCGAGUUACGAAUUUCCAGGAAAUUCUCUGGCUGAGAAUGAAACAAAAUGAACCAAUAUUCAGCCUUCAUUUCUACAGAAUACUUCGGAAUUUCUACAGAGUACUUCGUAUUACAGACGUAUAUACCCCUAAGAAAGCUACGAUUAAUGUUCUUUCAUAUUUUAGCAUUACAUAUAUUAAUUCCAACAUAUGUUUUACUUCAUCACAAUUUAAUUAAUAUUAUAGCAGGUUGGUUAUUAAAUAGAAAAAUAUAGAUAUUUGUGUAUUUCUAAUGUAAUUCACGCCAGAGUCUACUAGUGCAAUUAUUAUUUUAUUAUGAAAAUUUAUACAAUUUGUAUUAAACGGAUUUCUAUAUGCAACAACCUUAAAACAGUGAGAUUUGGAAUAUCAAUAUUGCUUAAAAUAUACUUUCAAUAUACAAAGCAAACACUACCUGCAUACUUUGGUACAUUUUUUAAUUAUUUAGCUUUUAUUAAUUUUAUUAAAUAACAUUUUAUAUAUUAUAAUUAAUACCUUGAUAUAAUAUAAUCUUUAAUAUAUUACCUUUAGAGAUGAUCUAUAAGAAAUUUUUUAUAAAUGUUAUAUUCUUUUUGUGUUAUAAUGUUGUGUUUGAUAAUUUUGUGUUGUAUGUUUCAGCCUCUCAUUUUUCUAUUAAUGUAUCAUUCUUCAUCAUCCUGAAGCAGAAUGCUGGUUAUAUAAGAAUCAAUAAAAACUUGAAGUUUUUUUUUUUGAA